CGUGCGGCGCAGGUCCGGGACCUCACUCCGACAGCCGGUAUCACCCCGCCCCCAUUAUCCGUUUCCCCAGCAGGGUCGGUUCCACGUCCCCCCAGUACCUUCCUCCUCCCGGCCGGUCUCCGGAAUUCCCCCACCCUCCAGCAUCCCCCCCUAUCCCGUGGGUUCCUCAUUACCCCAGUAUCCCCUCUUUACUGGGUCAGUCUCCCAUUCCCCCAGAUCCUUCUUUCUGGCCGGUCUAUCGUCCGCCCAGUAUUCCCGUUCCCCGUCAGAGUCAGUUCCACGUCCCCCUCCCCGCCCCGUCGGUGCCGCGCUCAGCCUCACGCGGUGCCGCUUCCCGCCUGCAUGCCCGCCGGACUGCCAGGCCGCAGUGGGGCGGAGGCUUAGCUGGGAUAGAGGGCCCGGCCAGCACUGGAGGAAGAAGCAAAGUGCCCACAGUGCUGUUACUCUCAGCACCAAAAGAGUUCAGCCUCGUGAGACUACGGAAUUGCUGUGCUGUUAAUAGUAAGGGGAUGUUGUCCACAGGUGCCCUUCUCAACCUUUUAGAAUUUGAAGGGUUUCACCUGAAUUCAAUGAGGGUGAAAGUUUUAGUAACUGCAGUAAGAUCUCGCAAAGGUGAAUCCAAGAGUGAAGGGUGUGGGUUUGUGUGAGGGCCCAGAUCUCUCUGACCUUUUGCUGUCUGGUACAACCACGCAGGAAUGUGGCCGGCUGGAAGGGGGAGGCGGGCGAGGGAGACGAGGAUAGGUGUCAUGUAGGGAGGAGUUAGAGCAUGGGUGUUAAAGGCACAGGAAUCUCAGUUCUACCAGUGCCUGGUGGAAGCUCAGUGUCUACAUUUGUGAAGUGGAACUAGUAAUAGAAUUCACUUUGUGGGAUUGUUGGAAAGAUCAGUUACGCAAGAACCCAUCAAGUUAUGCUUAGCAAGUGAUAAUUAUCCCUCGGACAGAUAGAUAAAGUGAAAAUCAGAGAGGUUAAGGGCACUGCCCCAGUCCAACAGCUUGUCAGGGAUGAUGGAGGCAGUGGAGUCCUGCCUUGCUUCUGUUGUUCCUAUGCUGGGUGCAUUGGUCCGCUGUAGUGUAAGCUGCAAACACCCAGGUAGCCCCUAGGUUGUGCCUUUGGAUUUUGUUGCUCAUUAGCACAGGGAACUAAAGAAGAGAGACUAUAAGCUUUGCUCAAGAUCUUUAGGUGAAUUAAUAAUGGACCAGGCUAACCUAAAACUGUCCUUCUCUUUUGUAGUCCACUACUGGGCAAAGUGAGGGAUGUUUCCGGGUGAGUCCUUUUGUUGUUGGGUUACUGUGCCGAACCCUGACUCCUUUCCCAAAACAAAUACUAAUCUUCCAGUUCCUUGGUAAGAUUAGAUGUAUCUCUGCAUUUUAGGUAAACCUAAGGCUUUCUUUAGUGAGGGUUGAUAUAUUAAAUUUCAAAAGUAGUGGCAGAUGAAGCAGCAAGUUUCAGGCUUGGAGCAAAAGGACACCCAUGUUGAAAGAGCAGAGGCUUUGACGCAGUUGCCUCUGGCACUUGGAUCCCUCUGCACGUUCCCGGCAAGUAUGUGUCCACCCCCUUCCCUGAGUAGGCAUCUCCAGGGCAGCCUGGCCCUACCCUGUUGCACAGCUCUGAUUGUAAUGAUUGUUUAUUUUUAUUUAUUUAUUUAUUUAGAAAGGGAGUCUCACUCUGUUGCCCAGGCUGGAGUGCAGUGGCACGAUCUUGGCUCACUGCAACCUCUGCCUCCCGGGUUCAAGCGAUUUUCCUGCCUCAGCCUCCCGAGUAUCUGGGAUCACAGGCAUGCGCCACCGUGCCCAGCUAAUUUUUGUAUUUUUAGUAGAGAUGAGGUUUCACCAUAUUGGCCAGGCUGGUCUCCAACUCCUAACCUCAAGUGAUCCACUCACCUGAGCCUCCCAAAGUGCUGGGAUUACAGGCGUGAGCCACCACGCCAGAUCGAUUGUUUAUUUUUUUACCUACAGCCGCCAGGCUGUUCUAGACCUAUGCUAUUCAUUCUUUUUUUUGAGACGGAGUUUUGCUCUGUCUCCCAGGCUGGAGUGCAGUAGCGCAAUCUUGGUUCACUGCAACCUCUGCCUCCUGGGUUCAAGCAAUUCUCCUGCCUCAGCCUCCCAAGUAGCUGGAAUUACAGGCUCCUGCCACCAUGCCUGGCUAAUUUUUUUGUAUUUUAUUAGAGGUGGGGUUUCACCACGUUAGCCAGACUGGUUUCAAACUCCUGACCUCAAAUGACCCGCCCACCUCAGCCUCCCAGAGUGCUGGGAUUACAGGCGUGAGCCACUGCACCCAGCCUCAUUCUUUAUUUUAAAUCUAAAUUUGCUUUACUGUGCUCAUUCCUGCUUGGUUGUCGUUUUUAGCUUAUCAUUUGAAAUUGAAGAUUAUCACUGCACAUAGUCUCAUGAGAAAAUGUUUCCCAUCAAGUUAAGGUCAGAUGGAGCCUGUGCCUGAUAUGGUAACCUGAACCAAGCCUAGCCCACCAGCUCUGCCCUGUGGCCUAUUUGCUCAGGCUGUGGACCGAGGAGGAGAGAGAGCAAUUCCUGGAAGACAGCUUUUUAGGACCUGUUGAGUUCGAGCAGAGGGUGUGUGUCAGUGGGAUAAGAGAUGGAUGAGGGAGAACAGGAGGAGUCCGUAGUCCUGUGGAUGCUGAGUGUGCGCCCAGCCUCCCUCGAGCCGGGUGUGGGAGCAGGCGGACCCUGCUACUCUACUCAACUCCUUAGAUCCACCUCAUUCAGUCCAAGAGAGAGGGAGGCCUUUGCCAAGUUUUUCCAGGUAAGGAGAGGGUUGCUUUCUCUGAGAGGACAUCAGCUCCUCUCAGAAUUGAAAGGUCCCUAAUGAGUCCUGUGCUGACCCCCAUCCCCUUCACCGUGAGAACAUGAUGCGCCUUCAGCCAGUCUGAGCCCGUCCUGCAGGAGCCGAGGGCCUAGGUAAGGAGAUCUGCAUGGUCAUUGGUUGUCAGCACUAGAAGGAGCACAGUGAUGUUCUUCCUGCAGUAUGCAAACAUGGGAUGAGAGAGAGCCUUCUGUGCAGCGCAGGACUUGUAGGAAAUGAGGCCUGGGGAUGGAGGAACUAGGUGUGGGCUACAGGAGGGUGGGAGGGUGUGCUCAGGGUGGGCAGGCCAGCCAUAGAGAAGCAUUUAAAGGUGUUCCUGACGGAAGGCGGUCAGCUUCCCCAAGGUCUUUCCACUCAGAGAUGGCCCAGGAUGAUUCUCAUUUUGCCUGUCAGUUUGCAUCCUGCCUCUGUUUGGGAUGGUUGUGCACCUGAACUUUCCUGGGCACAGGUAACCACCGUGUUCUCUGCCUCGUGUGGUGCGGACCCUGUGGCGUGCUUGAGAGGCUCUCAGCAGCCUGGCAUGUUCCCUGAUGUGUGUCUGGAGCUCCAGACACUGACCCUAUGGGGGCUCCUUGAUGGAGGAACUUCCCAUCUGGGCACAGUUUCCUCGCUGCAGCCUGAAGGUGCAGUACUUGGGCCAGUGGCCACAUCUCAGGUUAGUGAAGUCCACAGGUUGCCCCUUUAUGCACUACCGCAGGAUUUCUCUCCUGUGUGAUGCCUGCACCUGCCUCCGUCACCUUCAGCUUGUUGGUUUUGGCUCAGUGUCCUGUCCUGUGAAGGUGACUUUAGGUUUGGUUUGUCAUUCCAUCUCCUAGGUGUCUUCAGAUCUGGAUUAUGCACUUGUCUGGGGCACUAAGCCCCUUCCGGACCACCUCAGCCUUGGGGAGCAGGGGCAGAAGGUGGCCCACUCCUGUCAUGACACUAAGCUGUCAUGAUGUUUUCCUUCUUACUGACAGAGGUGACAUGAAAAACUUUGCCAUUUAGUUGGCUUACCAGCAAAGAACAUUGAUCACAUGUGUGGACAAAGCUGCUCACUUCCAGUUGUUCCAGUUUCGUGACCUUUCUGAGAGUCUGAGAGCUUCAGAUCAUUUCUGCAAAUUGUUUUGUUGUCUGGGGAGUUUUGGUGUCCCUUUGGUACCUGUUUGGUGUCUGGGAUAUUUGUCUGGGCAUUGAAGGUGUGAAGUUCAAGCGGUCAGGUGCCCUCUUACUGUUUCUUUUCUCAUCUUGUGUUUUAAGAUUUCUGGUUCAUAGAUCAUAUAUGUAUAUGUAUUUUUUUUUGCCAUACAGUAUGAUUUUGUAUAUUUUAAUAAUUUAGAUGAUUAUUUUGUAGUGGAUGAAUUAAGUCCUUUAUAUGAGGACAUGUUUACACUGUUACGUAGAAAAAGCAGGUUACAAAAGAAGAUGCAUAAUGUGGUUAUAAUUACAAAAUGAUUGGAAGAAAAUACAUGAAAAUGUUCUAAGUGGCUAUGAUUGAUAGUAUUACCAAUCACUUUUACUUGUUUUUGUUUUUUAAAUAUUUUCUAAAUUUCCUACAAUGGAUAUGUAUGAUACUCAGGAAAAAAGAUUAAUUUUUUAAAAGUUUAUACUCAUUGAUUUACUAAUUUCUGUUCUAGUAGUCCGUUCUAAGGAGAUAAUUAGAAAUGUAAAUAAAGAUCUUAUACACAAAGAUAUCCAUUACAGAAUCACUUAGAACAGAUUAAGUGGAAAGCCAUUGUGCAGUCCUGCAGGACUGUUAACUGGGCCAUACUUCCUACUGUGGAUGCUGAAAGUGCAUACGUUUAUGUUCUCUGUUUUUUUCUGACCAUAGAACAACAUAUGCCCAAGCCCUUGGCCGCUCCCUUUUACAAUUUUUAGCUGGACCUAGUUGAAAUAGUCUUAGCUUUCUGGUACUGCUAGCAUUUUGUUUAAACCAGUGAUGUAUUCUGCAUUUGGGAUUUUUAAUGGCGUUCUAGGCUGACGCAGCUGAUGUGGCUUCUUUCCUGGUAAGGUUCCUUUUUGUCUCAUCUGAGCUCGUUGGAGAGCUGUGCUUGUGGCCCGCUCUUUGUUUAUUCCUUUCUUUGUAUCUGCAGUUGCGUGAUGAGGUCUGCUGUUUGGUGACUGUCUGCCUGUGACGGUGCCUCUCGUGCAUGGGGGUUUGUUGGUUUGGCCUUGGCUCACCUCCUACUUUUACACCUUCUGAGGUGACACAACCACUUUCCUUCUGCCUGACUGAGCCUCCUUCUCCAUCAGAAUUCAGUCAGAGCAAAGCUCCCCAGUGACUUCCUCUGUCUUCUGAGAACUGCGAUCCAGGAGGGUGAGAAAAGCAUCAUUGCUAUGUCUGCAGACAGCAAGGCUGUGCCUAGGGCCUGGCCACUCCUGCCUUGUUGCGAAGCAGUUGGGAGAUCUGAGGGCCCGGACUUGCUCACACUUCCCUGUGGCCCUCACUGUGGGCCUCUAGGCAGCCCUGCUUCCCCUUUACAGGCAGUGAGGCUUGCCGUGCCUAUAGGGGUCUGCCCCAUGCACGAGGUGUGCCUAUCCCCACAGGCCUCCCCAUGUUCUGAGAGUUGUGUGGGUGUGUGACCUCCCCCAUGGCCCACACCUGCGCCUGCUUCAGUCCUGCAGAGGGCACCAUGAGAUCAGGUCGGAAUUGCUGAGGCUUGAGAAGGACAUGCCCCAUAUGGGUUAGACAAGGGGCCAGCACCUACUGCGCCCUGACCCCAGGCUGUCUCCAGUCUGGCCUCCUUGCUCUUGCCUGCAGAGUGCUGGGCUCCCAUCCUCCACAGGCAUCUUGGCGAUGUCACUUCUUCAUCCCGUGUCAAAUGGGCUUUGUAUUUCUAUCUGAGGCCAUACAUUCCCAGUGAAACCAAGCUCACCCUUGGGAGCGCCUCCUGUUGGAGCCCAGUACCAUAAGACCUGCUUCUUGUUCCCUCCAUGGUCCUCCGCAUCCUGGACAUCCCUUUCUGGGUUGCAGAGGUGGACUACAGCACCUCCUGCCCCUGGUGACUGACAGACCCUGGGCAGCCUUCUUCUCCGGCUGGGACAGAGCUGGAGCUGGAGCUGCGGGUAUAAGCUUCAGGUUAUCUCCUCAGCCUGAUGGAAGACUUGACCUUGGUCCUUGUCCUUUGACGGAUCUCUGGAACAGCCGAUUUUGUGGGUGAUACCCCUCCAGAGCUGGGUUCUUGGUUGAAUCAGGCCCCUUGGCACACGUUGCAGAUUGCUUUCCACAUGGCUGUGCCACCUGCCCUCCCGCUGCAGCCCAGGAAGAGAUUUUCGUUGAAAUGCUUUUUGCCACUUUUGUAAGUGAUGAGUUUUGUCCUUUAACUUUUUAAAUCUUGGGGUUAUUUAGUGUGUUUGUAUAAAUGCAUCACUCCUCUUGUUCUUCCUGUUGUUUGGUGUUUUCGGCUUGUUAGAAUCCUUGGUUUUCAUCUAAUUUUCCAAGGGGGAAGCUUCCCUGUUACCAAGACAUAAAGGUGCGGCUUGGGCUUUGGUUUAGUGUUGCUCUUGUUAAGAAACACCCCAGCCCUCAGACUGCAGAAGUAUCAAGUUCUUCCCUUCCAAUCUUAACCCUUUUUCUUCACUUUUUUUUUUGAAAUGGAGUUUCGCUCUUGUUGCUCAGGCUGGAGUGCAAUGGUGUAAUCUCGGCUCACCGCAAUCUCUGCCUCCUGGGUUCAAGCGAUUCUGCCUUAGCCUCCCGAGUAGCUGGGAUUACAGGCAUGUGCCACCAUGCCUGGCUAAUUUUGUAUUUUUUAGUAGAGACGGGGUUUCUCCAUGUUGGUUGGGCUGGUCUCGAACUCCCAACCUCAGCUGAUCUGCCUGCCUGGGCCUCCCAAAGUGCUGGGAUUACAGGCAUGAGCCACCACGCUUGGCCUUUUUUCUUCACUUUUAACAUUUUAUUCUAGAUGUUAAGAAGAAGGUAAGUUUCAAAUACCUGGUUUCAGAUACCUUUUUAAAGAGGAAUAGUGUCAUUAUCUCCAUAGCUGGUUAAGACCUGGUGAGCUGGCAGGAGCUCGGAGCCUGCUGGGGUGUUGGUUCUUGCCCACUCCUUCAUGGGAAGUCCCCCAGGUGGCUGUGUUGACCCCCCUUCCCCAGCCAUGGGUGCCCCUUGGACUCAUUGUGUCUUUCUGCUAAUGAGAGCUGCUACGGUGUUUUUUCACCUGUUUCCUGCCAGCUGCCUGCAUGAGGGUAGUGGGGCCCUGUGGCCUACGCAUUACUGAAGCCCUCAGCCUGGCACAUCUUGGGGACCACCCACCUCAGCCAGCCCAGCCUGAUCAGGCCCCUCACAUGGGGCAGUUGGCAUGGGCUGUAGAGGAUAGGUGAGCUGAGUGUGUCUGAGUUUUGGUAUUGAUGAAAACUGGCUGAUACUACGGUUCCUCUGGGGGUGUGUGGGUGGGUAGGUUUUGGAUGAUAAAUGGGUGGGUGGAGAAAGCAGUUUCCCUUGAAAUGGACAAAUCACUAUAUUCAGGUUUCCCUGGUUGGUUGUGGCUCUCGGGUUCCAUAAUGGGAAGAGAUAGCAGGAGAUUUCCUGUGAGUGACAGCAGGGAGGCCAAGCCACUGCUUUUGGAUGUGGUGGUGGUGGAAACGUGAGGAAGGAGCUGGGAGGGCCGAGCGGGAGGGCCGCUUUGGGCUUCUCUGCCCAGGCUUGGAAGGCCUGUGUCCAUAUUCUCUCCUGGGGGACAGCAUAGUACCCAGUGCCCCCAGCGCCUGCUGGCGACUCAGUAGCAGCGAGGAGCCUGGCCACCAGAAAGACACUGAGAACCUCCCAGCGUCCAGGCUCUCCUCUAAACUUGGCGUCACCCCACGCGACCUUGACCUUUGGGGUCAAGGCCUUGAUCUUGAUCAAAGCUUCUCUCUAGGCUGAGGCUGGGCCAGCAGGCGAGACUGGACCUGGGUUCUCUGAGACCUGAUCUGCCCUUGUGCAGUCUCACUUCCCUCAUUCUGUAAACUGGGACUCAGUUGCCCACCUUGGAGGGAGAGAUGGCUGGAGAUGGUGGAGUUUAGGAGUGUAGCGUGGGCCCUGAAGCACUGGUGCUAGCACCUGCUGGCUAUUGCAAUAAUAAUUAUUAAUAAGUGCUAGUGGGAAGAAUAAUGUUAUUUUAUUAUCCACAAGGACUGAGGACUAAGUCCUCAAUGAUUUAGGCUCUGACAUCUUUUUCUCCUGGGACCUGUGUAUGGUUUUUCUUUGUGUGGUGCCCUGUGCAACUUAUUUUUAAAAAAUUUUUCUUCAUAAGCCAGAUAAUGGCUUUCUGAAUUAACUUAUACUUUAUGUGAGUAGUUUUGUGUGUAAUAAUAAUGCAUAGGAAAUUUAUAAUUUCCAUUUAUAAAUAAACAAAAAGACCAGUUGUUCCCACCUUUCCUGGCAACAGAGUGGCAGGGAACUUCAGAAAGCUGAGUCUGUAUUAGCAGGUGAAUGCUGCCAGGGGAGGGGGAUCCUGUGUUCUUGUAGCUGGUAUUUCUGUUCAUGGGCCCACUGAACUCCUUCCUUUGAGGCUACAGUGGGGAAUUUCUGCAAAGAGAAAGCUCGUGUGUCUCGGCCUGGCAUCACCCUGCUCAGGACUGCUUUGCUACAAAAGUCCAUUGUACAGCUUAUGAGUUAGUUCUGUGAAUAAACCGAGACAGGCCUUGCUUUCCUGUAGAUGCUGCAGAGCUCUGUGCAUGCAGUCUGGCAGGUGAGUAAGCUUGGCCUCUGUGGGUGUCGGGGUUUGCCCUGUGUGAGGGACAGGGUGAGAGCUUGCACCAUGGCAGCCUGGGUCAGUUUACAUCGAUCAGGGAUUUCAUGUAAUGUAUUUUCUUAUUGUGUUGAUUUUUAAGCAUGACCCUCAAUCACACUUACACAUUGCUAGCAGGGCGUCGCUGAAUGCCUGCCAUCGGUGGAGAGCUGUACUGUGUUUGGUGCCUAAUUGUUGGAGGGCGGGUCAGGCACACUGGAAUAGCACACACCAUCAUGUCUACGUGAGGAGCAAAUGCACUUUUAGGGGAACGAACUUCUGGAGAGCUGUCUAGAGUUAGGACUUCUGUUGAUCAACUUCUGCCUUUCCUUAAAUUUUGGUGGAAUUAUAGUUCCAUUAAAAUGAUCCUUAGCCAGUCGAUUCCCAUGAUUGAUUGUUGAUGCCUGCCUUCAGCUUGGGAGGGGACAGCGGUAGCAUGCAUGCCAUUGAUCUUGGCUUCCCCAGGUCUCAGCUUGGGGCUCAAGGAGGGGACAGCUAUCUGCAGCACAGCGAGCCAGGAGCAUGGCAUUGGCUGGGAACUGGAGCUCAGUCAGAGGGGCCCAGGGGGCCGGGUGCCUAGGAUUUAAGAGUAACAACGUACAUUGUCUAAGUAGGGCUGUGGGGAGCGGGCAGGGCAGUCUGGCUUGGUCUCCAUAGGGCCUUUGUUGCUCCUUAGGCAUCUUUUGAUCUGGAAAACGGCCCUUUCUAAGCCGUCUUCAGUGCAGCCUGCUUCCUCCCUCCUGCUUAGGCUUUGCCCUGUGGCCUCAGCAGGGGCACUUCCCAGGGCAUUGGACCCCCCCACCUUUGCACUGCAGCUAGA
Long non-coding RNA from Symphalangus syndactylus (siamang), 9321 nucleotides. RefSeq lists it as uncharacterized. NCBI's taxonomy places the organism in Eukaryota, Metazoa, Chordata, Mammalia, Primates, Hylobatidae. The record is from RefSeq and is a predicted model, not a curated record.